GGCUCCAUAGUGUAAUGGUUAGCAUGUCUGCUUUACAUGCAGAAGGUCCUAGACUCGUGCCUCAGGUGCAGCCA
RNAcentral lists this transfer RNA (74 nucleotides) under Pteropus alecto (black flying fox). It matches the Rfam family "tRNA". From Rfam's summary of the family: Transfer RNA (tRNA) molecules are approximately 80 nucleotides in length. The record is from Rfam by way of RNAcentral. Lineage: Eukaryota; Metazoa; Chordata; Mammalia; Chiroptera; Pteropodidae.